This 444-nucleotide ribosomal RNA is filed under the name uncultured bacterium. Its description in RNAcentral is "partial 16S ribosomal RNA". It matches the Rfam family "Bacterial small subunit ribosomal RNA", at positions 338 to 795 of the family's 1533-position model. The record is from RNAcentral.
CCUACGGGAGGCAGCAGUGGGGGAUAUUGGACAAUGGGGGGGAACCCUGAUCCAGCGACGCCGCGUGAGUGAAGAAGUAUUUCGGUAUGUAAAGCUCUGUCAGCAGGGAAGAAAGCAAUGACUGUACCUGACCAAGAAGCCCCGGCUAACUACGUGCCAGCAGCCGCGGGAAUACGUAGGGGCCAAGCGUUAUCCGGAAUUACUGGGUGUAAAGGGAGCGUAGACGGUUGGGUAAGUCUGGAGUGAAAGGCGGGGGCCCAACCCCCGGACUGCUCUGGAGACUGUAUGGCUGGAGUGCAGGAGAGGUAAGCGGAAUUCGUGGUGUAGCGGUGAAAUGCGUAGAUAUUAGGAGGAACACCAGUGGCGAAGGCGGCUUACUGGACUGUAACUGACGUUGAGGCUCGAAAGCGUGGGGAGCAAACAGGAUUAGAUACCCUUGUAGUC